GGAGUUCCGGGUGGGCGUGGGCUUGGCGGGCCCUGCACUCGGAGCAGCCGGCUGGCCCCGCCGCGGCCGAGCAAUGAGGAGUACACCCUCCGGGCCAGCGACUGUGGAGGGUGUACUGGGUACCCCAGCAGUGACAGCCCACCGGCGCUGCGUUCGAUUUCUCGCUGGGCCUUAGCUGCCUUCCCUCAGGGCAGGGCUCGGGACCUGCAGCCCGCCAUGCCUGAGCCUCCCACCCCCUCCGUUGGCUCCUGUGCUGCCCGAGCCUCCCGGAUGAGCGCCGCCCCCUGCUCCAGGGCGCCCAGUCCCAUCGACCACCCAAGGGCUGAGGAGUGCGGGCGCGCGGCGCGGGACUGGCAGGCAGCUCCACCUGCAGCCCCGGUGAGGGAUCCACUGGGUGAAGCCAGCUGGGCUCCUGAGUCUGGUGAGGACAUGGAGAACCUUUAUGUCCAGCUCAAGUUGCAGUCCGUAGGCACUUGCUUUAACCGUGAAGAAUUACCUUCAGUACUUCAGUGGCCUCAGGGUGAGGAAUUGGGAGCCACCAGUGUGACAAAUAAACCUGGACUCUCAGCAAUGAGGAAAGAAACAGACCAACAAGUUGGGGAAAGAAAGCUCACAUACUGCGGUGACCAGGUAACUCUGUUCACAGACCAAGCCCUCAGUCAAAUACUAUCUUCUGAGGAGGGAAGAAUCAAGGUUAUGUAGACCCAUACAGAAUUGCCACUGCUAACACACUUUCAUACUGCAUGACUUGGAUACACUCCCUAUUGCUAACAAGACCACAGUGGAAUUAAAAUUGAAAAUGAACUCCCAAAGGAAGCCUCAAAACUAUGCAAAUACAUGAAAAUUAAAUAAUCUGCUUUUGAAUGAUUCUUGGGUUAACAAUGAAAUCAAGAUGGAAAUUUUAAAAACUUUUGAAAUGAAUGAAAAUAGUGACAAAACAUAUUAAACCUCUGGGAUACAGCAAAAGUGGUGGUAAGAGGAAAGUUCAUAGAGUUAAAUGCCUACAUCAAAACAUCUAAAAGAGUGCAAACAGACAGCCUAAAUUCACACCUCAAGGAACUGAAGAAAUAAGAACACACUAAAGCCAAAGCAGGCAGAAGAAUAGAAAUAACAAAAAUCAGAACAGAAUUAAAUUAAAUUGAAACAAAAAAGUGUAAAAGAUAAAUGAAACAAAAAGCUGGUUCUUUGAAAAGAUAAGCAAAAUUUAUAGACUAUUAAUGAGAUUUACCAAGAAAAAGAGAAAAAUCAAAUAAGCUCUAUUAGAAAUGAAAUUGGGACCCCCACAUUGACCAGAAUCCGUGGACGUGGUGAACCAGGUUAUCAAGUACAAGCCUGCAGUUGCCUGGCAGACUGGAAAGCCUCUCUCCAUAGAGGAGAUAGAGGUGGCACCCCCAAAGGCUAAUGAAGUUCGAAUCACAAUCAUUGCCACUGUGGUUUGCCACACCGACACCUAUACCCUGAGUGGAGCUGAUCCUAAGGGUUGUUUUCCAGUGAUCUUGGGACAUGAAGUUGCUUGGAAUUGUGGAAAGCGUUGGCGAGGAAGUUACUAAGCUGAAGCUGAGCUUCUUCCAUGCUCCACUAAACCAUUUCUUGCAUCACAGUGGAGAGUCGAAGAAUUCCAUCUCUUGGAAUCACUUUCAAGCAGAUGUCUAGCUUGGAUUCAGCCAAUGGGAUUCAAUAAAGAGAGAUUUAAAAGUCAGAAGAAAACAAGAAUUCCAGUACAGCUGUAGCAAGAUGCGCAGGCAUUUGGCAGACAUGACGUUGGCAGCAGCAUCCAAGUGAGUUCCUGUGAAUCACCCGCUUUGAGAAUUCAAGCAACUAGUGCCAUUGCAGGUGGCUUUCUCACAUUCUUGAAUUUUUAGAUCUCUGAGGCUAGUUAACAAUCUCUUUGACAUAUACAAAUGCAACUUUACAAGGGAGAAAAAAGCAUCCAAUUCUCUGCAUUGAUUUUUUUUCCUACUCAAAAUAAAUUCUUAGAAUGCUUUAAAAAAAAAAAAAAAAAA
RNAcentral lists this long non-coding RNA (2003 nucleotides) under Homo sapiens (human). RNAcentral's name for it is "long independently transcribed non-coding RNA 2899 (LINC02899)". The record is from RNAcentral. Lineage: Eukaryota; Metazoa; Chordata; Mammalia; Primates; Hominidae.